This 506-nucleotide long non-coding RNA is filed under the name Bos indicus x Bos taurus (hybrid cattle). Its description in RNAcentral is "lncRNA (ENSBIXG00005008312.1)". Lineage: Eukaryota; Metazoa; Chordata; Mammalia; Artiodactyla; Bovidae. The record is from RNAcentral.
CCUAGAUUUCCUGCAGCCGUCUCCAUGCUCAGGUGGCUCUGUGUCCUAGCUCACCUUGGGAUUGUGCUUGAGUGGAGAAAGAUUGGAAUCCCUGACCACAUUAAAAUACUUCAUCAUGGAAAACCUAAGACACAGAGCCGAGGAGUGAAGAGGAGUGUGAGCACUGGUGAGUCUGUCAACCGACUCCACAGCGACUAUGCUCUGCUGCUUUGCCCACGCUCUCCUUUUAUACAGGUGGAGGUUGGCUCUGGAGGGCGAGUUGCCUUCAGGCUCACCGUGUGCGGCAGGAAUGCAUCCCAGGUGCUCUGCUCGCCUGUGCCCGGGGCCCCGACACCUGCUCAUCCAGCUCACUGCUGCUGAGGGUCACGGUGGGCUCCGAGUCAUCUUUCAGAUAUGCCGUCAAAGUUAUGGUUCUUCUUAUUCAGAAUUGAGACAAUUAAAAGGUUUACAAUAUACACAUAAGCAAAAGAAAUAAAAGCAUCUUAACAUCCUAGCCCUUGAUAGCU